Molecule: transfer RNA, 72 nt
Filed under: Camelus dromedarius (Arabian camel)
Lineage: Eukaryota; Metazoa; Chordata; Mammalia; Artiodactyla; Camelidae
Also listed under: 1 other name
Rfam family: tRNA
About the family: Transfer RNA (tRNA) molecules are approximately 80 nucleotides in length.
Source: Rfam by way of RNAcentral
GAGGGUAGAGCUCAGUGGUAGAGUGCAUGCCUAGCAUGCAUGAGGUCCUGGGUUCAAUCCCUGGUACCGCCA